RNAcentral lists this ribosomal RNA (301 nucleotides) under uncultured bacterium. RNAcentral's name for it is "partial 16S ribosomal RNA". It matches the Rfam family "Bacterial small subunit ribosomal RNA", at positions 509 to 807 of the family's 1533-position model. The record is from RNAcentral.
CAGCCGCCGCGGUAAUACGUAGGGUGCGAGCGUUAAUCGGAAUUACUGGGCGUAAAGCGUGCGCAGGCGGUUAUAUAAGACAGAUGUGAAAUCCCCGGGCUCAACCUGGGAACUGCAUUUGUGACUGUAUAGCUAGAGUACGGCAGAGGGGGAUGGAAUUCCGCGUGUAGCAGUGAAAUGCGUAGAUAUGCGGAGGAACACCGAUGGCGAAGGCAAUCCCCUGGGCCUGUACUGACGCUCAUGCACGAAAGCGUGGGGAGCAAACAGGAUUAGAUACCCCCGUAGUCCCUGUCUCUUAUAC